This 351-nucleotide ribosomal RNA is filed under the name Triticum aestivum (bread wheat). Its description in RNAcentral is "partial small subunit ribosomal RNA". The record is from RNAcentral. Lineage: Eukaryota; Viridiplantae; Streptophyta; Magnoliopsida; Poales; Poaceae.
AUGGCAGUGUUCAACCAGUUCCACAGCCUAUCCGGGGCAAACUUCGACAAAAUCAACUAUGCUUUUGUGGCCUUGCUUCCUAAGAAAGAUGGAGCUGAAUCUGUGGGAGAUUUUCGGCCGAUAAGCCUCAUCAACUCAAUUGCCAAGCUCAUCACCAAAGUACUCUCGAUAAGAUUAGCAGAGAAAAUCUCAUCGAUCAUUUCGCCAGCUCAGAGCCCUUUUCUAAAGUCAAGAUGCCUGCAAGAUAACUACCUCUAUGUCAGGAACUCAGUUUUAUCGUUACACCGUAAAAAGAAGCCGGCCUUGCUGAUUAAACUGGACAUUGCUCGGGCAUUCGACUCGGUCUCCUAG